UGGCGGACGGGGGAGUAAUGUCUGGGAAACGUGCCCGAUGGAGGGGGGUAACUACUGGAAACGGUAGCCAAUACCGCAUAACGUCGCAAGACCAAAGAGGGGGACCUUCGGGCCUCUUGCCAUCGGAUGUGCCCAGAUGGGAUUAGCUAGUAGGUGGGGUAAAGGCUCACCUAGGCGACGAUCCCUAGCUGGUCUGAGAGGAUGACCAGCCACACUGGAACUGAGACACGGUCCAG
RNAcentral lists this ribosomal RNA (236 nucleotides) under uncultured bacterium. RNAcentral describes it as "partial 16S ribosomal RNA". It matches the Rfam family "Bacterial small subunit ribosomal RNA", at positions 96 to 334 of the family's 1533-position model. The record is from RNAcentral.